Lathyrus oleraceus (garden pea) is the source of this 801-nucleotide long non-coding RNA. RefSeq lists it as uncharacterized. The transcript is spliced from 2 exons. The record is from RefSeq and is a predicted model, not a curated record. Lineage: Eukaryota; Viridiplantae; Streptophyta; Magnoliopsida; Fabales; Fabaceae.
AACCCUAAUUUCUUGCAUCCGUCGUUUCCUUCUUUUCAAACAACCAUUAAACUUUUAGAAAAGAAAAAAAGAACUAGGCAGCUUACAACAUCGACCAAAACCCUCUCUCAAAUUGUUACCAUUGCCUCGUCUAUUUUCUUUUCACCUCUCAAUGACCUCUCUCUCUCUCUCUCUCCCUCUCCCUCUCUCUCCCUCAUUGGUCAUGGAUUUCCUUCUCUUCCAUUCAUGAAUCUAAAAAAAACUAAAAUAAAAAUAGAAAAUUAAACCUCACUCAAGGUAAAACUCGGCUCAAACAACAUCAUAAGCAGAAAAUCUAGAUCAUAAAAAAAACUUAACCAUGAAAUUUAUUCAGUUUAGCCAAAAUAAAAUGAAUUGCAACAAUAAAUCAUGGGGGAAAUGAUUAUAGCAUGUUCAGAGAGUGGAAUCAACAGAAAAAUCGUGAAAAGAAUCAACGAAAUACCCAAACCAGAGAUUCAAAGUUCCCAGAAUUCGGUGAGUCCUAUGAAUUUUUCGACUGCAGACGAACUUUUCGACGAGGUUUUAAACAUGGCUUGUGCACCAAGAAGAUGCCUCAAAAUAUGCAAAGAGAAAGGAGGGUUUGCAUUGUAUACUGAUGGAUAUGGCAUGGGAAGUUGAAAUGAAUUGGGUUUUAGAAGUUAGAUUUAGGCCUUGUCAACUUAUGGUUUAGGUUUUCUUCUUUGUAAAUUCAAAUGUAAGGCAAUGUGAAAUGUUACUUUGUAACUUGUAAAACUUCUCAAAACUUGAUCAUAAUUGAAAAAAUGAGAGUGGCAACUUAUGUUA